This 53-nucleotide transfer RNA is filed under the name Chloropicon maureeniae. Its description in RNAcentral is "partial tRNA". It matches the Rfam family "tRNA", at positions 7 to 55 of the family's 71-position model. From Rfam's summary of the family: Transfer RNA (tRNA) molecules are approximately 80 nucleotides in length. The record is from RNAcentral. Lineage: Eukaryota; Viridiplantae; Chlorophyta; Chloropicophyceae; Chloropicales; Chloropicaceae.
GAUAGCUCAGUUGGUUAGAGCGCACGACUGUUAAUCGUGAGGUCAUGAGUUCG